GACGAACGCUGGCGGCGUGCCUAAUACAUGCAAGUCGAACGAGAGCGACCGGUGCUUGCACUGGUCAAUCUAGUGGCGAACGGGUGAGUAACUCGUGGGUAACCUGCCCAUCAGAGGGGGAUAACAUCCGGAAACGGAUGCUAAAACCGCAUAGGUCUUCGAGCCGCAUGGCUUGAAGAGGAAAAGAGGCGCAAGCUUCUGCUGAUGGAUGGACCCGCGGUGCAUUAGCUAGUUGGUGAGGUAACGGCUCACCAAGGCCGUGAUGCAUAGCCGACCUGAGAGGGUGAGUGGCCACAUUGGGACUGAGACACGGCCCAGACUCCUACGGGAGGCAGCAGUAGGGAAUCUUCCGCAAUGGACGCAAGUCUGACGGAGCAACGCCGCGUGAGUGAAGAAGGUUUUCGGAUCGUAAAACUCUGUUGUUAGGGAAGAACAAGUGCUAGAGUAACUGUUAGCGCCUUGACGGUAGCUAACCAGAAAGCCACGGCUAACUACGUG
This 498-nucleotide ribosomal RNA is filed under the name uncultured bacterium. Its description in RNAcentral is "partial 16S ribosomal RNA". It matches the Rfam family "Bacterial small subunit ribosomal RNA", at positions 28 to 507 of the family's 1533-position model. The record is from RNAcentral.